GUUGGCGGGGUAACGGCCCACCAAGGCUACGAUCGGUAGGGGUUCUGAGAGGAAGGCCCCCCACAAUGGGACUGAGACACGGCCCAUACUCCUACGGGAGGCAGCAGUGAGGAAUAUUGGUCAAUGGGCGGAAGCCUGAACCAGCCAUGCCGCGUGCGGGAAGGAGGCCCUAUGGGCUGUGAACCGCUUUUGCCUGGGGGCAAUAAGGGCGUCGCGCACGUCCGAUAAAAAAACCAGGUUGAAUAAGCAUCGGCUAACUCCGUACCAGCAGCCGCGGUAAUACGGGGGAUGCGAGCGUUAUCCGGAUUCAUUGGGUUUAAAGGGUGCGUAGGCUGUGCGUCAAGUCGGGGGUGAAAUUCCGGUGCUCAACACCGGGGCUGCCCUUGAUACUGUCGCGCUGGAGUGCGGAUGCCGCCGGAGGAAUGAGUGGUGUAGCGGUGAAAUGCUUAUUUUUCAGAAAAGAACACNGANNGNGAAGGCAUNNGGNGAANCCGNAANNGANGNNGAGGCAAAAAGGCGGGAACCUAUUUAAAGGGAUNANAUANNNNGNUAUUNNAAAACNGAAAGACACCUGGAUGANACNNCNNNNNNNNNNNNNNGGACCUACCAAGCGAAAGCGAUAAGCCAUCCACCUGGGGAGUACGUCGGCAACGAUGAAACUCAAAGGAAUUGACGGGGGCCCGCACAAGCGGAGGAACAUGUGGUUUAAUUCGAUGAUACGCGAGGAACCUUACCCGGGCUCGAACGGCACCUGAAUCACCCAGAGAUGGGCGAGUCUUCGGACAGGUGUCGAGGUGCUGCAUGGUUGUCGUCAGCUCGUGCCGUGAGGUGUCGGCUCAAGUGCCAUAACGAGCGCAACCCCUGCCGCCAGUUGCCAUCAGGUGAAGCUGGG
Molecule: ribosomal RNA, 892 nt
Filed under: uncultured bacterium
Lineage: Bacteria
Description: partial 16S ribosomal RNA
Rfam family: Bacterial small subunit ribosomal RNA
Source: RNAcentral